AUUCAUCUUCGGGGCAGGGUGUAAUUCCCGACCGGCGGAAAUGGAAAGUGAUUUUCCUAGCCCGCGAGCGUAACAGCUGAUUCCGGUGAGAUUCCGGAGCCGACAGUAUAGUCUGGAUGGGAGAAGGUGAAG
This 132-nucleotide non-coding RNA is filed under the name Bacillus sp. (in: firmicutes). Its description in RNAcentral is "Bacillus sp. FMN sequence". It matches the Rfam family "FMN riboswitch aptamer (RFN element)". Rfam says of the family: The RFN element is a highly conserved domain that is found frequently in the 5'-untranslated regions of prokaryotic mRNAs that encode for flavin mononucleotide (FMN) biosynthesis and transport proteins. This element is a metabolite-dependent riboswitch that directly binds FMN in the absence of proteins. The record is from RNAcentral. Lineage: Bacteria; Bacillati; Bacillota; Bacilli; Caryophanales; Bacillaceae. RNAcentral also lists the same sequence under 1 other name.